GGAUAUAGCUCAGUGGUAGAGUGUGUGCCUUGCAUGCAUGAGGUUCUGUGUUCAAUCCCCAGUACUUCCA
RNAcentral lists this transfer RNA (70 nucleotides) under Camelus ferus (Wild Bactrian camel). It matches the Rfam family "tRNA". Rfam says of the family: Transfer RNA (tRNA) molecules are approximately 80 nucleotides in length. Their secondary structure includes four short double-helical elements and three loops (D, anti-codon, and T loops). Further hydrogen bonds mediate the characteristic L-shaped molecular structure. tRNAs have two regions of fundamental functional importance: the anti-codon, which is responsible for specific mRNA codon recognition, and the 3' end, to which the tRNAs corresponding amino acid is attached (by aminoacyl-tRNA synthetases). tRNAs cope with the degeneracy of the genetic code in two manners: having more than one tRNA (with a specific anti-codon) for a particular amino acid; and 'wobble' base-pairing, i.e. permitting non-standard base-pairing at the 3rd anti-codon position. Lineage: Eukaryota; Metazoa; Chordata; Mammalia; Artiodactyla; Camelidae. The record is from Rfam by way of RNAcentral.